RNAcentral lists this ribosomal RNA (904 nucleotides) under uncultured bacterium. RNAcentral describes it as "bacterial SSU rRNA". It matches the Rfam family "Bacterial small subunit ribosomal RNA", at positions 21 to 917 of the family's 1533-position model. The record is from RNAcentral.
GGCUCAGGAUGAACGCUAGCUACAGGCUUAACACAUGCAAGUCGAGGGGCAGCGGGAUUGAAGCUUGCUUCAAUUGCCGGCGACCGGCGCACGGGUGAGUAACGCGUAUCCAACCUUCCGUACACUCAGGGAUAGCCUUUCGAAAGAAAGAUUAAUACCUGAUGGUAUGAUGAGAUUGCAUGAUAGCAUCAUUAAAGAUUUAUCGGUGUACGAUGGGGAUGCGUUCCAUUAGGUAGUAGGCGGGGUAACGGCCCACCUAGCCAACGAUGGAUAGGGGUUCUGAGAGGAAGGUCCCCCACAUUGGAACUGAGACACGGUCCAAACUCCUACGGGAGGCAGCAGUGAGGAAUAUUGGUCAAUGGACGAGAGUCUGAACCAGCCAAGUAGCGUGAAGGAUGAAGGUCCUACGGAUUGUAAACUUCUUUUAUAAGGGAAUAAACCCUCCCACGUGUGGGAGCUUGUAUGUACCUUAUGAAUAAGCAUCGGCUAACUCCGUGCCAGCAGCCGCGGUAAUACGGAGGAUGCGAGCGUUAUCCGGAUUUAUUGGGUUUAAAGGGAGCGCAGACGGGUCGUUAAGUCAGCUGUGAAAGUUUGGGGCUCAACCUUAAAAUUGCAGUUGAUACUGGCGUCCUUGAGUGCGGUUGAGGUGUGCGGAAUUCGUGGUGUAGCGGUGAAAUGCUUAGAUAUCACGAAGAACUCCGAUUGCGAAGGCAGCACACUAAUCCGUAACUGACGUUCAUGCUCGAAAGUGUGGGUAUCAAACAGGAUUAGAUACCCUGGUAGUCCACACGGUAAACGAUGGAUACUCGCUGUUGGCGAUAUACUGUCAGCGGCUUAGCGAAAGCGUUAAGUAUCCCACCUGGGGAGUACGCCGGCAACGGUGAAACUCAAAGGAAUUGACGGA